GGGUCAGGAGGAAUGAGGGAUGAACACUGGGUUAAAUGGCGGAAGGGGCUGGGAGAAGUUGGGAAGGGGUCUGGGAGGGCGAGGGAGGCAGGGAGGGACUGGAAGGCUGGCCCUGCUGGACAGCAGCCAUCACAGCCUUCUCAUGCCUCUGAAGCUCAUUAUCCUAGAGUUUCAAGGUCAGGUCAGGCAAGUGCGGAGCCCAGGUGGGGGCUGGAGUUUGUGGAAACCAGCCUGGUCUUGGAACACAUCAAGGAAACGAAAUCACUGCCCAGCGGCCGGCCCGGGGACGCUUCUCCAGCCUGCCUUCAGGAAGACAGGGCUACAGACUGGUCACUUGAGCUCUCUGGAAAUCAGUCUCCUCAUCUGGAAAACAUGGCUCACCUGGACCUUGUGACGGGCGUGAGGUGAUGGCAUCAGAUAAUGUGCACGAAUGACCCUGUAAGUCAUAAAUUGCUUGCAGUGUCUCUCCAGUGACCGCCAAGUGCAUUUUGGAGCCCAGUGAACUUGAGUUUGCAUCCCAGCUCCUGACCUCCUGUGGCCCACGUCCUCCCUGGAGGAUGGGCUCUGGAGGCUGGAGGGCUGGUGGAAGAGGAAGUGAGAUGGCAGCUCACUGGCUUCUGCAUCAGGCCCCAACUGUACCCUGGUCCUCCAGCCUUGCACGUGCCUCCUCACAGCUUCCCUUGAACAUCCUGUAUCAUCCAGCAGCCCUGAACCGUGUGAUUUUUCCUCUGGGAGGUGACAGCCUAGACCAGAAGUUGAAGCCUGGCCCCAGGGUGUGGUGUGCCCCACUGUCAGAGGGACCUCAGAUGAGCCACUGAGCCUCUCUCUGCCUCAGUUCCCUUAUCAUCUAAAAUGGGUGGAAUCAGCUGGGUGUGGUGGCUGACGCCUGUAAUCCCAGCAUUUUGGGAGGGCGAGGUGGGUGGAUCGUUUGAGGUCAGGAGUUCAAGACCAGCCUGGCCAACAUGGUGAAACCCCAUCUCUACUAAAAAAUACAAAAAUUGGCUGGAUAUGGUGGCGGGCACCUGUAUUCCCAGUCACUCGGGAGGCUGAGGCAGGAGAAAUCACUUGAGCCUGGGAGGCAGAGGUUGUGGUGAGCUGAACUCGAGCCACUGCACUCCAGCCUGGGUGACAGAGCGAGACCCUGUCUCAAAAAUAAAAAAAUAAAAUAAAAUAAAGUAAAAUAAAAUAAAAUAAUCAUCUGGUCCCUGGCUGGGCUCACAAAAAUCCCACAGGGAAUGAAU
Molecule: long non-coding RNA, 1241 nt
Filed under: Macaca fascicularis (crab-eating macaque)
Lineage: Eukaryota; Metazoa; Chordata; Mammalia; Primates; Cercopithecidae
Description: lncRNA (ENSMFAG00000047459.1)
Source: RNAcentral